AAGAGGAGGGUAAGAAUAGCGGUGCACACAGUCACGUUGCCUAUGUGCUGAGUGGUAAGAGCUGGUAGCGGUGAACAUUCCUUUGCCUGCACCGCGACCACACCCACACCGUCCCAUAGGUGCCUGCCCCGCUUUUUUUUUGCGUGUACCACGCCUUCGACUGGCAUUGUAGUGUAGGUGCCAGAGAGGGAGGUUUAUCAGAGUAGAAAGAAAGGUGAGUAAGACUGCACCGCACAGGCAAGGUGAUCCCGUUUGUCUUUGCUUUCAGUCUUGCCUGCUCUCACGCGCGCAAUCUCUGACUGCUUCUCUUAUCUGACCCACGCUCAUCUGCCCUGCGGCGUUGUUACAAUUUCGAAGCCUGCCAAGCAAAAAUACGCGCAUUUUGUGCCGUACGGAGCGGCUCUUCACAGAGAUCGUUUCAAGCGUUUUUCUUCUCUUCUGUCGUUGUCAACUCCCUACAUUGUCCCCCCCCUCCUUUCACUCAGAUUUUCUGAUCCCACACUCAAUGCUGCGACGGUCACACGCGACGCUGCGCCGAAAAGCGUCGGUCGUGUUAAAGGGCCAACUGAACCCCCUUGAAGCGCUCACACAGAUACAACUAGGCAUGACACCGUCGCUUCCAAUCCAACGCGGCUUCCUGCUGGAGCACUGCGAGCGGCAGCUGGAGAGUCUCGGUAUCACUGAGGGGAAGCUCCUGGCCAUGGAUGGGCGGUUGUGCACUCAGCUCACGAAGAGGAUUGUGUACGAGCUGUACCUCUCUGUCCCGUUCCGCGUUUUCACAUUUGACAUGGAGUUUACUGGGCCGCCGGUGUUUACGGCAGAUGGACCGACGGAGGACAUCACGGAGCUGGGACUGUACUCACCGCUUCUCGACGAAACGUUUUCAUGCCUCGUUCAACCUGUCUGCGGCCGCAAGCAGGGCCCGGGUGUCGAGGAGCUGACGCACAUUACGGACAUGAUGCUGGAAAAGGAGGGUAUCCCGUUUGUUGAGGCGUGGCAGCAGUUUCUUAAUUUUGUCCAGACACCGCAGCCAGACGAGAUUUCUGGCUCCGAGGAGCGCAUCCUGCUGCUUUCCCACGGUGGAAAGCUGGCGGAUGUGUCGCUGAUCAAGUGGACACUCGAGAAGUUCCACAUGGAGCUGCCGCCCAGUUUUGUCUUCGGCGACACAAUUCACCUCAUUCGCGAUGCACACCGUCGACGUCCUGUCACCAUAGAUAAGCAUCCGCCGUCGUGGAAGCUUGUGGAUCUCGUGCAGUGGCUGCACAUCCCUCCAACGCUACCGGCGCAUCGGGCCGGCAACGACGCUCGUAUGACGUGGGACGCUCUGUAUCACACUCUGCUUCGCUACGGCGACGAUGAAAUGGCGCCGCGCGAGCAGCUCGUGCCGCGCUUUUUCGACGCGGAGGCGAAGCAGCUCUUGCGCGAGCACACAGCGCGGCAGGCGCAGGAAAGGGCCGCGCUUAGCUUGGAUGACACGUUCCUCUUGGCCGAUGUGUCGCACUCCGCUUCAGCGGGGCACGCAGACAGCAGCAGUAUCGGUUACUCCGCGUAUCGUAGCGCUUCGGAUGGCUCUGGCAAGCCUUGCAAGAGUGGAGCAGCGACGGAUUUGCUCGAUCUCGACUUUGACGACAUCUUUAGUGAACAGAAUAAGGUGAGCGCCAGUGCACCUAUUGAGGAGUUCAAGCUGGAUGACGAUGAUGAUCUUCACAGCAUUUCCGCUGGAGCAAGUAGCUUUACCGCUUCUCGAACGCUGUCAUCGACGACCACGAGCCGCGCUGCAGCUCUCUCCAUCGACGCGGCAGAAGAUGAUGAUGCUGUGAGCGACGUGAACGCGGCAUCAACACCCACAGUGUCGCCGGAUCGGGCAGCGAAGAAGGCCACCUCAGGUGGGAGAAAAGGCAAGGCGUCAGGCUCGUCCCGCAGCAAGGAGGCUGCUGAGAAGAGAAACAAGCGCCGUGGCAGCGCCGGUGACGACGACGGUGAGGAGGCGAGUGACCCUCCCGCUGCCGCUACUCGCGCCGUUUUCCUUGUAUGAGGCGUAUCAAGAAAGGUCUUUGCCCACGAGCCACUCGCAAGCAGAAGUGGUUUCUCACGCAUUCCCCCGCUUGCACGCACGCACGAGUAUGCACAUACCACAAGAACACACUGGACGUCAAUGCUGUGCAUACACAAAUCGUGUCGAAUCCUCCAUUUCUCUUUUCUUGAUCACACACUCAUGGUGCGCAUGACUGUGUGCUCUCGCGUGCGCGUGUCUGUGUGCCGCAUGCUGAACCAUCGUCCAAUACUGAAGUGAAACCUGCACGGAGGAAAGCGAAACUUUUCUCCCCCUCCCCGGAAAAGAAAGAAGGUUGCACCGCUAACGACAUUUAACGUCUCGGCUCUUGCGGUGAUGGUGGGCCAGCUGUGCCCUCGCCGCACUUGGACUCUCUUUGCAGUUGCACGUGAUAGUAAGCGUGCCGUGUCGAGGUGCGGUGCAUCGGC
RNAcentral lists this unclassified non-coding RNA (2481 nucleotides) under Leishmania donovani. RNAcentral's name for it is "gene:LdHU3.25.1820(CDS-product:Exonuclease_putati ve)". The record is from RNAcentral. Lineage: Eukaryota; Euglenozoa; Kinetoplastea; Trypanosomatida; Trypanosomatidae.